GCAACCGGUCAAAACUCGCCCAAUGAGAUUCGUAAUCAGCAGGUCGCCGGUUCGAUCCCGGCGGGUGGCUCCA
This 73-nucleotide transfer RNA is filed under the name Acidobacteriota bacterium. RNAcentral describes it as "Acidobacteria bacterium (bioreactor metagenome) tRNA-Thr". Lineage: Bacteria; Pseudomonadati; Acidobacteriota. The record is from RNAcentral.